RNAcentral lists this ribosomal RNA (253 nucleotides) under uncultured bacterium. RNAcentral's name for it is "partial 16S ribosomal RNA". It matches the Rfam family "Bacterial small subunit ribosomal RNA", at positions 524 to 776 of the family's 1533-position model. The record is from RNAcentral.
GACGGAGGGUGCAAGCGUUGCUCGGAAUCACUGGGCGUAAAGGGUGCGUAGGCGGCUUGGCAGGUCUGGUGUGAAAGCCCCGGGCUCAGCCCGGGAAGGGCGCUAGAAACUGCCAAGCUAGAGUGCCGGAGGGGAGAGUGGAAUUCCUGGUGUAGCGGUGAAAUGCGUAGAGAUCAGGAGGAAUACCGGUGGCGAAAGCGACUCUCUGGACGGCAACUGACGCUGAGGCACGAAAGCGUGGGGAGCAAACAGG